Molecule: long non-coding RNA, 690 nt
Organism: Mobula hypostoma (lesser devil ray)
Lineage: Eukaryota; Metazoa; Chordata; Chondrichthyes; Myliobatiformes; Myliobatidae
Exons: 3
Source: RefSeq, a predicted model, not a curated record
ACAGCUGCCCGCUUGUUACUCACCCCUCUGUCUCUUGUGUGUGUAAUUCACUGUCACCCAGCUCCCCAGUGCCGCAGACAUAACAACUGGCGAUGAGGUGACAAGUUCUCAUGUGAUAUUCAUUGUUUUAUUCUCUUUGUCAAGAAAAGUCCACCUGCAACACUGGCGGUGUAGCACUGUGUAAUGUGGGUGAGUGAAAAGAAGAUGCCAUGAGAAAACAGCCACAGGAAGUGUGGACACAAAGACUGCUAUUGCGUGAUCAUGCAGUUGGAUGGGGUGACCGUGAGGAUGCAGGUGGACAUGGGUGUUGCAGUAUCACUGGCAUCAGAGACAGUUUACCAGGAGAAAUUGCAGCACCUCACCCAGAAGGGGCAAGGUUGACUUUAAAGACCUACAUUGGAUGACCAACAGAAUCAACAAACUCAUCCGUAAGGCCAGUGAUGUUGUGGGGAUGGAACUGGACUCUCUGACGGUGGUGUCUGAAAAGAGGAUGCUGUCCAAGUUGCAUGCCAUCUUGGACAAUGUCUCCCAUCCACUACAUAAUGUACUGGUUGGGCACAGGAAUACAUUCAGCCAGAGACUCAUUCCACCGAGAUGCAGCACAGAGCGUCAUAGAAAGUCAUUUCUGCCUGUGGCCAUCAAACUUUACAACUCCUCCCUUGGAGGGUCAGACACCCUGAGCCAAUAGAC